ACUCUGGUGGCCUAAGCAGUUAGAGCGUCCGCCUUGGAUGCUGGAGGUCGCGGGUUCGAACCCCGACCGAAUCAUACCAAAGAG
Molecule: non-coding RNA, 84 nt
Organism: Potamilus streckersoni
Lineage: Eukaryota; Metazoa; Mollusca; Bivalvia; Unionida; Unionidae
Source: the annotation of a GenBank genome assembly